RNAcentral lists this ribosomal RNA (2891 nucleotides) under Boodleopsis sp. FL1161. Its description in RNAcentral is "large subunit ribosomal RNA". It matches the Rfam family "Bacterial large subunit ribosomal RNA". Lineage: Eukaryota; Viridiplantae; Chlorophyta; Ulvophyceae; Bryopsidales; Halimedaceae. The record is from RNAcentral.
CAAAAAAGUAUCUGCUUUAAGAGAAUACCUAAGGACUCAAAGAUGAUGAAGGGCGUGUAAACCUGCGAAAAUUUCUAGUUAGUUGGAAAAAAACAUAAGUAAAAGCUAAUAUCUAGAAGUUCCCGAAUAGAGCAAUCUUUAAAACUGCUAAAAUAAUUCAUACUUUAGUAAGAAAAAACUUAGUGAACUGAAACAUCUUAUUAACUAAUGGAAAAGAAAACAAAAUGUUAUUUCCUGAGUAGUGGCGAACGAAACGGAACUAGCCUAAACUAACAUAAAACUAGUGUUGUAGGGGGUUUCAAUAAAAUUAAAACCAAAAUUUAAACAGCUGAAACCUGUACCAUAGAUGGUGAAAGUCCAGUUUUUUUUGUUUCUUUUAAUUUUUAUAACCACCCCAAGUAGCUUGGGACACGUGUAAUCCCUUGUGAAUCAACGAGGACCACCUCGUAAGGCUAAAUACUCUUGAGUCACUAAUAGUGAAUAGUACCGUGAGGGAAAGGUGAAAAAAAAUCCCUAUUGGGAAGUGAAAUAGAAUAUGAAACUUAAAGCAAUCAAUCUGUGGGAGGAAUUUUUUAUAUUCUGACCGCGUGCCUGUUGAAGAAUGAGCCAGCGACUCAUAAUUAUUGGCUAGGUUAAAGAAAUUUUCUGGAGCCAAAGUGAAAACAAGCUAAAAAAACGAAUGGUCAAUAGUUAUGGACCCGAACCCGUUGUGAUCUAACCAUGACCAGGAGGAAGCUGAGGUAAAACUUUGUGGACGUCCGAACCGACCAAUGUUGAAAAAUUGACGGAUGAGUUGUGGUUAGUGGUGAAAUGCUAAUCGAACACGGAGCUAGCUGGUUCUCCCCGAAAUGUGUUUUGGCACAGCAUUUGUUGGUAACUAUUAACAGGUAAAGCACUGUUUCGAUGCAGGCCAGUCAAAAGGUACUAAAUUGUUGCAAACUCAGAAUUGUUAAUAUGACUUUGUUAACCGACAAAAAGUGAGACUUUGAGGGAUAAGCUUCAAAGUCAAAAGGGAAACAGCCCAGAUCAUCAGCUAAGGCCCCUAAAUAAUAGCUAAGUGAUAAAGGAAGUUUCAACGCUAAAACAACUGGAAGGUUUGCUUAGAAGCAGCUAUCCUUUAAAGAAUGCGUAAUAGCUCACUGGUUUAUUAAAGCUUUGAUGCACCGAAAAUGUGCGGGACUAAGCUAUUUGCCGAAGCUGUGAGAGAUUAAAAAUCUCGGUAGGGGAGCGUUCUGUUUAUAUUAAGGUGAAGUCUUUUUGAAAAAAAAGUUGGAUUGAACAGAAGUGAGAAUGUUGGCUUGAGUAACGAAAACAUUGGUAAGAAUCCAAUGCCCCGUAAACCUAAGGUUUCCUCGACACGGUUCGUCCAUUGAGGGUUAGUCAGGGCCUAAAAUUAGGCUGAAAAGCGUCAUUGAUGGAAAACAGGUUAAUAUUCCUGUACUCGUUUGAAUUUGGUGACAACAGACGAAGAAGGCAAUAAACGAUGGUUAAAUUGGUUACCAUGGAAAUAUUAAUACAGAAUUAAAAAAAAAAAUUUAAUUUAUAUGUAAAAAUAUGAUCCAGCACUAAAAAAAAAUAAAAACAACAUUAAAGUAAUAACAAAACAAGUGUUCGGUAAAGAUUGUCAUACUUCCAAGAAAAUUUUGUGACACUAAAAAUAAUUUAAAUGACCUGUACUUUAAACCGACACAGGUAGGUGAGUUGAAUAUACGAAGGGGCGCGAGAAAACUCUCUCUAAGGAACUCGGCAAAAUAGCUCCGUAACUUCGGGAGAAGGAGUACCUUUAAGAAAUAUUUUUUGAAGGUCGCAGUGAAUGGAUUUAUCGAACUGUUUAUCAAAAACACAGGUCUCUGCAAAGUCGUAAGACAAAGUAUAGGGGCUGACGCCUGCCCAGUGCCGGAAGGUUAAAGAAAUUGGUUAACGCUAGUAACUAAAGCCAGCGAAAUUCCUUGUCACGUAAGUUGUGACCCGCACGAAAGGCGUAAUCAGAUAAAUACUGUCUCAGAGAGAGACUCGGUGAAAUAGACAUGUCUGUGAAGAUGCGGACUUCUAAUCCUUAGACAAAAAGACCCCGUGAAGCUUGACUGUAUCUUAACAUUGGGUUUCAGUUAUUUGUGUGCAGUCUAGGUGGGAGGUGAUGAAGUUAAAAUUUUUUAAUGGAACCAAAAUUGAGAGACCACCCUCAAGUGAUAGAAAUUCUUAAGAUGUUUCCUUAUACCAGGACAUUUAACAGUGUUAGGAAGGCAGUUUUUUUGGGGCGAAAAUCUCCUAAAAGGUAACGGAGGUUUACAAAGGUUUCUUCAAACUGGACGGAAAUCAGUUUUUGAGUGUAAAGGCAAAAGGGAGCUUGACUGUGAGACUCAUACGUCGAACAGAGGCGAAAGCCGGUCUUAGUGAUCCGACGGUUCCACGUGGAACGGCCGUCGCACAAAAAAUAAAAGUUACUCCGGGGAUAACAGGCUCAUCUUUCCCAAGAGUUCACAUCGACGGGAAGGUUUGGCACCUCGAUGUUGACUUUUCGCAACCUGGGGCGGUAGUACGUCCCAAGGGUUGGGCUGUUCGCCCAUUAAAGCGGAACACGAGUUGAGUUCAGAACGUCGUGAGACAGUUUGGUCUAUAUCUGGGAUUAGCGUUAGAAUAUUGAAAGGAGUUUUCUAUAAUACGAGAGGACUUGGAAGAACAUACCACUGGUAUACCAGUUCUUUUACCAAAAGGAUACGCUGGGUAGCUAUGUAUGGAGAAGAGUACCGCUGAAGGCAUCUAAGUGGGAAGCUCACCUUAAGAUGAAUAUUCUCUAAUAGAAUCUGGCAAGAUAAGCCGGUUGAUAGGUUUUAGGUGUAAGAUUUGCAAAAAUUUUAGCCAAGAAAUACUAACAUUCAAUUGUUUUUGAU